This 565-nucleotide ribosomal RNA is filed under the name uncultured bacterium. RNAcentral describes it as "partial 16S ribosomal RNA". It matches the Rfam family "Bacterial small subunit ribosomal RNA", at positions 355 to 1375 of the family's 1533-position model. The record is from RNAcentral.
UGGGGAAUAUUGCACAAUGGGCGAAAGCCUGAUGCAGCAACGCCGCGUGAGGGACGACGGCCUUCGGGUUGUAAACCUCUUUUAGCAAGGAAGAAGCGAAAGUGACGGUACUUGCAGAAAAAGCGCCGGCUAACUACGUGCCAGCAGCCGCGGUAAUACGUAGGGCGCAAGCGUUAUCCGGAAUUAUUGGGCGUAAAGAGCUCGUAGGCGGUUUGUCGCGUCUGCUGUGAAAACCCGAGGCUCAACCUCGGGCCUGCAGUGGGUACGGGCAGACUAGAGUGCGGUAGGGGAGAUUGGAACUCCUGGUGUAGCGGUGGAAUGCGCAGAUAUCAGGAAGAACACCGAUGGCGAAGGCAGAUCUCUGGGCCGUAACUGACGCUGAGGAGCGAAAGGGUGGGGAGCAAACAGGCUUAGAUACCCUGGUAGUCCACCCGUAACGUUGGGAACUAGUUGUGGGGUCCAUUCCACGGAUUCCGUGACGCAGCUAACGCAUUAAGUUCCCCGCCUGGGGAGUACGGCCGCAAGGCUAAACUUAAAUGAAUUGACGGGGUCAUAGCUGUUUCCU